GCUGGGGAUAUAGCUCAGUUGAUAGAGUGCUUGCCUCACAUACAAAAGGCCCUGGGUUUGAUCCCCAGCACCACAGCA
RNAcentral lists this transfer RNA (78 nucleotides) under Marmota monax (woodchuck). RNAcentral describes it as "tRNA.Val". The stretch from base 4 to 73 matches the Rfam family "tRNA". Rfam says of the family: Transfer RNA (tRNA) molecules are approximately 80 nucleotides in length. Their secondary structure includes four short double-helical elements and three loops (D, anti-codon, and T loops). The record is from RNAcentral. Lineage: Eukaryota; Metazoa; Chordata; Mammalia; Rodentia; Sciuridae.